UAUGUGAUCGUCUCUCGCAUAUCAAUAAGCGGAGGAAAAGAAACUAACAAGGAUUCCCCUAGUAACGGCGAGUGAAGCAGGAAGAGCUCAAAUUUGAAAUCUUAAAGGGUUUCCCUUUACGAAUUGUAGUUUAAAGAAGUGUUUUCUGUUGAGGUUUUGGUAAAAGUUCUUUGGAAUAGGACAUCAUAGAGGGUGAGAAUCCCGUAUUUGACCUUUACUUUCAACUUUGUGAUACACUUUCAAAGAGUCGGAUUGUUUGGGAAUGCAGUCCAAAAUGGGUGGUAAAUUUCAUCUAAAGCUAAAUAUUGGCGAGAGACCGAUAGCGAACAAGUACCGUGAGGGAAAGAUGAAAAGAACUUUGAAAAGAGAGUUAAACAGUACGUGAAAUUGUCAAAAGGGAAGCGUUUGACACCAGUGUUGUUUUUCUGAAAAUCAAUUAAAGAACUGUUUAUGCUAAGCUGUUUAGACUUUAUCAGCUAUCUGUUUAGUUUUGAGCUUUUCUUUAAUGCACUUCUCAGUUAACAAGUCAACAUCAAUUUCUUUUGCUGUAAAAAAGCUUGAGGAAGGUGGCUUGAGAUUCGUCUUAAGUGUUUAUAGCCUCUUGCCUAUGCAGUCGGAGAGAUUGAGGUCUGCAGCGUAGAUCCUUCGGGGCUAAAUGCAUUUGUGCUAAGUUAUAGCAUUUUAUAGACAACUUGUUGACUAUGAUUUGUCUUGUAGCUUACUCGCUUAUGUUAUUUUACCUACGCUUAGGAUGUUGAACGCGCACAGAGUCUC
Molecule: ribosomal RNA, 774 nt
Filed under: uncultured Neocallimastigales
Lineage: Eukaryota; Fungi; Neocallimastigomycota; Neocallimastigomycetes; Neocallimastigales
Description: partial large subunit ribosomal RNA
Rfam family: Eukaryotic large subunit ribosomal RNA
Source: RNAcentral